AGAAGAAGAAGAAGAAGAAGAAGAAGAAGAAGAAGAAGAAGAAGAAGAAGAAGAAGAAGAAGAAGAAGAAGAAGAAGAAGAAGAAGAAGAAGAAGAAGCAACCGUUGUAGUAACUAUUCCAGUCCUCUGUGUGGCGCUGUAACUAACUUUCUAUGUGUGAAGCUCUGCUACAAACGCCUCUGGAACUGAAUUCAUCUAAAUCUAUCAAACUGGGCCGAGAUCAUCACUAAACUACCAUAACAUGGCAACUCCUGGAAGAAAGAGGAGAGCAGACGUGUGGACACAUUUCGUCUACGACAGCAUUGAAAAUAAGACCCAUUGUAUAGUGUGUGGAGGCACUAUUACUGGAAAAAACACCACCAACCUGAAACGACAUUUGCUGAAGAACCAUUCUGAGCUCUGUAAUGUUAGCAUGCUGAAGGUUGCUGGAACUGCACAUAACAAGGAGGAUGAAGGGAACAGUCAUGUAAAAGCUGAGCCGUGCUCACUGCCAAUUGUCAGCUCCAGUUUUAACGUGGAGUUGUGCCACGCUAACUGUCCAGAUGUGGAUGUCCUUCAGGAACAACGCGGGCAUUGUGACAUUGAUGCUGACAUGAGGCCGGCAAACACUCUCUGCAGUGUUAGAGAUGAAGAUGAACUAUUUCUCCUCAGCCUCCUGCCGUCACUGAAGAGACUCAACCAGAAGAAACGAAUGGAGGUGCGGAUGGAAUUCCAGAAAGUUCUUUAUGCUGCAGAGUAUCAAAACUAACAUCAUCUUUCAGCUUGUGAAUGUGAGGAUUUCAACUCUUACAGCUUCUGUUUAUUGUUUUUAAAACAAGGAUGUGUUGUAAUUUUUGUUCAUAAUAUAUAAUGUGUAUUUCAUAAUUUCUCCUGUUAACCAUGCAACCUGUACAGUUUCUGUGUUUGAAUUAUUGUCGCUGCACAAAGGUCAUCUAUUGUAAAACUAGCAAAGUGUUGGUUAUGAAGAACAUUGUAAUGACUUGGAUUUAUUUGAUGUGUGACACUUUUAAUUAAAUCAAAAAAUAUUGACAUUUUUCUUAAAAGUGUUAUUGAACUGUUAGAAGAUGAUGCCCUGUUAAUAUAGGUGUUGCAAUCUUAAGUUUAAUGUAUCAUAAUUGUGGAGUAUAUUAACUUUUUUGGUGCUGGUACUGAAAUUAAAGCACACAUGUACAUGUACAGUGGGGCAAAAAAGUAUUUAGUCAGCCACCAGUUGUGCAAGUUCUCCCCCUUAAAAAGAUGAGAGGCCUGUAAUUUUCAUCAUAGGUAUACCUCAACUAUGAGAAACAAAAUGGGACAAAAAAAUUCAGAAAAUUACAUUGUAAGAUUUUUAAUGAAUUUAUUUGCAAAAUAAGUAUUUGGUCAAUAACUGUUAAAUCGCAAUACUUUGUAAUGUACCCUUUGUUGGCAAUGACAGAGGUAAAACGUUUUCUGUAAGUCUUCACACACUUGCUGGUAUUUUGGCCCAUUCCUCCAUGCAGAGCUCUAGAGCAUGAUGUUACCACCCCC
This 1506-nucleotide long non-coding RNA is filed under the name Gouania willdenowi (blunt-snouted clingfish). RNAcentral describes it as "lncRNA (ENSGWIG00000019988.1)". The record is from RNAcentral. Lineage: Eukaryota; Metazoa; Chordata; Actinopteri; Blenniiformes; Gobiesocidae.